RNAcentral lists this transfer RNA (65 nucleotides) under Lachesilla pedicularia. Its description in RNAcentral is "tRNA-Ala". The record is from RNAcentral. Lineage: Eukaryota; Metazoa; Arthropoda; Insecta; Psocodea; Lachesillidae.
AAGAAAAUAGUUAAUUAUAACAUUUGGGUUGCAUUCAAAAAGUAUUGACUCGUCAAUUUUUCUUA